GGCAGCCCGGUGGGGAGCUUCAUUAUGUGUGUGAGUGUUGCCCGUCUGUCUCCUUGCCCCAGCCCCAGCAGAAUAAAGUAGUGCAAGCAUUCAGGUGUGACUGCUGUCAGAGAAAAGGCCGUGGUUCUGAUGCAAACAGGACAUCGAUGGUGGCUGUGCAAGCAGAGCAGGCACAACCCAAUUUUAAAAAGAAGGAAAAAAAGAAAGAAAAUCAAAAGUCUGGUCAGAGUUUUUUGCCAGGUUGUUAUGGUCUGGUGGAUUCAGAGAUAAAAUUAAAUCUCAUAAAGAAAGAAAAAGCCAAAAUGCAAACCAAAGCCCAGACUGAGGCAGCAAAAUUGAAGUGAAUUUUAAACUAUGCACACAUAGUGGAGGAAUCCUAUAAUCUUAUUAUUGUAACCUUGAUCCAUUCGUUCUCCCAGCAUUUAUUGCUCUCAUUAGUUAUGUAAUAUCUAAAAGCACACUGUAAAUUUUUUUGGUGUCGGGACAGUAUCUUUAAUGUAUUCUGAACAUGCAUAGUAUAAUUAGAGAGCUUUAUACAAAAAUAAUAUUACCUGCUGGGUUUUUUUCUAUAUUAUUUCUACCCAUAGGAAGAAUUAAAAUGCAGCAAGUCUGGAAAGGUCAAACUGAAUCUCCCCUCAUUCUGUGCAUGAUUUCAGAAAUAAUCAAAAAGUUAUGCUGAGAUAACUGAUAUGAAACCAGUGACACUAUCAUCACAAAACUUGGAUCAAUUUGUGCCCAUGCAGGCGAAGCAUCAUCUCAUUUCACACCUGAAAAUAUUUUUUUUUAAUUCUAUGUUUUAUAGAUAUUUUGAACUGUUUGUUCCUAACGGUUUGUUCUCACAGAUGUGCAUCAAUAUUGUGUAAUUACACAGAGACACUGUUGGCCCAAAGGAACCCAGGCUGCAAAGGACAGCUGUGCUGUAGGGAAGGUGAACAACUUGUGCCUCCAGGACAUGGAAAGCUACCUUGCUUUUCCACUCUUCCGCAAGCCCUUCUGGGCUUGUAAAAGCCAGGGAUCACCAAGGUGUAGAGCUCUCUCAGGUGCACGUCCUUGCUCUUUCAGUGCCCCUCUAAGCCAGGCAGGGCUGACAAGGGCUUGGCUGCCAGCGUGCACUUCUGCCCUGCGUUUGACUAGGAAAGGAAGGAAGGUCAGUGCCUGCCACCUGGGUGCAGAAUGGAAAAAGAGAUGUUACCCAAGGCCACGAGUAAACCCUUGCUCUUACAAAAGUGAGACUUUGAAAUUCUUUUCAGGAAAUAACCUUCAUUUUUAAGUUCCCAUCAGAAAGGUAUAAACACAUAUGUGUGGUAAAAGCGCACUUCAUCUGGGAAAGGUGAAGGGCUAAGUCAGUUCUGGGAUUUGAGCAUGUGGAUCAAGAUGGUUUAGGACUGCAAACCCAAAGAAUAAUGCUAAUCUAGAAUUCUCUGCCACUCAGAGGAGGAGCCCAAAGAACUCUUCUACACUGGAACCCUGGAAUUCCUUGGAAGCCCUCAGUGGGGAAAGCACUUUCCAGGGGGUUCUAAUUGUGGAGCUGCUAAACACAAUCUGUAACUUGACAGGUGUUCCCAAAGGGUCCACAGGAUCCUGGUCCAGUCCCAGUGGCAAAGAUUACUACACCUAUACUUAGAAAUUAAAAUAUAUGCUUGUGUGAUGUUUUAAUAUACUUAUUGGAAAUAUUUAAUAUCUAAGUAUUAGUUUUUCAUUAAUAUUUCAGUAUUAUUAUGGACAUUGUCCAGACUCAGUCCUGUGUCUAUAUUUACAGACACAUUUUAUGCAUUGCAUUUUAAUCAUCUAUAAACUUUACAGUUCUAUGCUGUCUUUUAAUCCUUUUCAGUAUCUAGUCUGAUAAAAUUCUUUUAAUGUAGCCAAUGAACAUCUGAAAAAAUGAAAGAGGUACAAUGAGAACUUAAUUUUGGAUUAACAGUUGUUUGCUAUCUUGAAACUGAUUAUUUGGCCCAAAAACUGAAAUUUAAUUCUUUAGAGAAAAGAAGAAUUCAUAAUGAAUUUAGGAACCAUGUUAAAAUUCCAUACUUACAAAAUAAAUUCAUGGUUUCUCAAGCUUCCAGUGGCACAGAAAAAGGAGCAGCAAAUCUCUGAGACAAUCACUACAUGUAGCAGCUGGGAGAGAGGAGGUUUGAAAGUAGCAAGGACAAUUUCAAACGAAAACUUCAAAACCAAGAUAUAACCAAAGACUUUUUAAGGAUGAAAGAACACAUGUAAGGAGGAUCAAGACCCAACAGUGAGAUCAGCUAUUAGCUAAUUAAAUAUGUGACUAAAAUUCAUCAUUUUAAAUAGCAGCCGUAUUGAUGGUGAGCAAUCUGCCUCGACCAGCACAAAGAAAACAUCAUUUUCCCAGCCAAGGCAUAUGCAGCAUCCUUCAGAAUGCGUCACAGCAGAUCCCUCAUCAGCCAGAGGAAUCACUGGGUUAUUAUGAAGUCCCUCCUGCCCAGCAGCACAGAACAAGCUUGGGAUCACCACACAUUUUUUAUUCUCCAGCAAAGAGGUGAUUUUAGUAUUGUUUUACCUAAUAAAUAUUUUCCUUUCAUGUAGCUGUGCCCUUUUGUGGGUGAGCACCCAGCUCCUCCUCUCAAAUUAAGACAGCUCAGUGACUGACCAGAGGCUUUGGCAAUCUUAUAUGGGACAAUGACUUGAAACCAAACCUCUCUCUUGCAAAUAAUUCCAGAAUAAAAUGUAACUGAGGACUGUGUAAACAAUGACUGAGGAGGGCAAAAUACAUUUUACUUUUCUAUAGCUCUCUGCAUUCUACAGUGUUUACAGGAGUUAAAGUCUAGUUUAGUCAUUAAUCAGGUAUGAAUCGAAGAAACUCAGGAGAUGCUGUUGUUGAAAAAGCAGAAUUAUUUUCACACAAAGAAGCAUUUUCCUCAUUUUAACUUCUUCUUAAUGGGUAUGUAUCUUUAAAAAACAAACCCAUUAUUUUGAAUUGUAUCAAUAAAUUUUCAUCUGUAAUACAGCUCAAACAAAAAAUACUAAAAUGCUAAAGGCAGUCUGGCUUUUUAAAUACACAUCUAGUAUGUUCAUUGCCAUAAUGCAAUACUGUAAAUGCCAAAAAAAGUGAAUCACUGAUAUAUAAUUUUAAAAUGCCAGUGAUUUCCCAGCUGUCACUGAUCUUGGAAAAUUUCCCCAGUAGCAUGUGGAGAUCAAUAAUUGUUUACAGACUUUUCGUCCCAGUUUAUAAGGAGGAUAUCACUGUGGACUAUGUCAAAUCUUUUAAAUGUGAAGUGAAAGCCUGGUUUCACUUAAAUCUAUUCAAAAGCCCAUCACACUAAGAAAUGGAAGAAUGAUCCAGGGAACUACUGCUUGUCCUUUGGGACAAUAAUGCUGCCAAGUCUGCAGGAGGCAUUCCUGAAGAAAGAAAGGUGAUUAGAAGUAGUAUCCAGCACGGCUUUUCCAAGGUUUGCCCAGGCUGACCUUCUGUGAUGCCCUGGAAGAUGUGCAGCCAAAGGCAGAGCCGUAGGUGUUGCCUACCUUGCCUUCAGCAGGGCUUUCUUUCCCCAUGGUCUCCACAGCAGCCUCGUAUCCAAGCUGGAAUGUUACAGUGUGGAUGGGCACACUGCAAAAGGAAUGAACAUCUCCUGCCAGGCCCAAGGGCUAACGAGUCCUACUCCCCCUGGCAGCUGCUCACCUUGGCAUUCCUUGGGCAUCUACCCUUAGACCUAAGCCAUGGAAUACCUGUCAAGUGUCCUGGAGGAGACCACAGAUUAUUUAUCCUCUUUUUUUUUUUUUUAGGAUAUUUAAGCACUGAAACAGGUUGCCCAGAGAGAUUGGGGAAUCUUAAUCCUUGCAGGUUUUCAAAACUUCUCUGCAUCACAUCCUCAACAAACUGAUGUGAUUUCAGGGUUGACCCUGAUCUGAGCAGUUUGCACUAGGAAACCUCCUACACUCCAUCCCAAGUGAAUAAUUCUGUGAUUCUGACAAAGAGGCUUUUUUGCCAUCCAUCCUAUCCUUAGGUUUUCCCUAUACAUGUGUAGUUCUGGGCUGAUGUCAAAAGUAAGUAAAUUAGCAUGUCCUCCUCAUCCUUGUAGCUCAGAAGGAGGUUUAAGAUCAAUACCCUGUGCAUGCUGAUCCCAAAUUCCAUGGCAACGUUAAUGUAUCCCAUUAGCAGAAAAUACCCUUCUCACUCACUAUUUUUCUCUCCUUGCACACGUAUUCAUGUGAAAGUGGGUGAAGAACCUUUCUCUUCUAUAUCCAGAUGAUUUUCUAUUCAAUGUUUUUCAGAAAAGGUACUGAAAAAUAAUUUUGUCUUUGAUUAUGUCUCUUUACAGCUUAUUCAUCAAUGUUUUUAGUUAUGCCAGAUCAAUUCUUUUCUGUGCUCAUCCAUUUCUCUUUUGUUUCAUCUAAUUUUUCAUCAGCUGAGUCUUUUCUUUAUUUAACUGAAAUGAGAGCCAAGGUUUCACACGCAUCACUGUGUCCAUAGCUCUAAACAUUAAUUGGAUAAGAAACUGUGAUACAAAUUGGUAAAAGGGCACACUACAUCCCAACACUGUAAACAAAUGGGAGUUUUGCACUGUUUUUGUGAAACCCCAAAUUUAAUUCCAUUACUCCAUGUAGUGAAGUCAAACACACUGAAUCUGGUGUCCCUUACAACCUUUCAGAGGUUUCAUCUCUUCACAGCUACAUUUGUACUGCAAACUCCCUGCUUAGCAAACCAGGCAUUGUAGGCAAUCCUCAAAAUGAACAAUAACGCUGCAAUGUAGUCAUUUGUUACAGACCUGCACAUUCUAAAUGUGACACUAUUUAGCAAAUAGUAGAAAUGUAUACUGGAAAUGAACCAUAUAUUUUCUCCCUAAUUCCUUUAUUAAGAGUGGUUAAACACAUUAAGUUGUGCAGUUUCAUAUCCAAGGACUUAUUUCCAGCAUUAUAAAACACUGCCAAAAAGUAUUUAAACCUUUGUGUGUAUCAUCAUAAAGAAAAAAUCUGUAUUGUAAGGAAAACUUCCAAACAUAUACAUUUAAAGUGACAAUUGGAAUUCUCAAAUUUGUGCAAUUAAAACAACAUAAAAUGGAAUUUCUAAGAUAUUAUAUAUGUACAAAAUUAUUAAUCAUUAAAAUAGCCAGAAGCCUCUCUGGGGCAACUAUAGUAUACAUAGGUGGCUUUGCCACAAACUGAAGCCAAACCAACUUAUUUUAAACCCAUGAGAAAUCCAACUCUUUUCCUGAAGUGCAGUACCGUGUAUAUCAAUAGUGAAAGUAGUUUAAACAUUUUCAAACAGAAAAAAAAUAUCUUAAAAGUCCAGAAAGAUAUAAACAACAUAGUCUUCUUCUUUAUCCUUGUUCCUUUUUUCACACCUGGCUAUGAAAAUUAGAAAAAAAGUAGAAGGUUGUGAUAGCAGUGGAAGACUCACCAAAAUACAUUUCAAAACUAAGAAAAAAUAUUUAAAUUGGUAUUAAAAAAAAAUCAAUAGUUGUACUGACAGCUGAAGGCAGAGUGAAUACGAAGUCAUGUGGCUCUGAGGCCUGAUCUUUUAAGCUGCUCCUAAUUAAAUGCAGCUUUGCUCUUACUGGAUGUUAAGAGCUUUCCAGGUUACUGCCCGUAUUAAAGGAAAAUUAGAUACUUAUCUGUAUGAAUGUUGCAAA
Passer domesticus (house sparrow) is the source of this 5591-nucleotide long non-coding RNA. RefSeq lists it as uncharacterized. The record is from RefSeq and is a predicted model, not a curated record. The transcript is spliced from 4 exons. Lineage: Eukaryota; Metazoa; Chordata; Aves; Passeriformes; Passeridae.